AUGAAGAAUCGGGCCUGCCCGGUGAUAUGUUUAACGGCCGCGGUAAUUUGACCGUGCAAAGGUAGCAUAAUCAUUUGCUUUAUAAUUGAAGGCUGGAAUGAAUGGUUUGACAAGAAUUUUAUUGUCUCUUUUUUGUUUUUUAGAAUUUUAUUUUUAGGUGAAGAUGCCUAAAUUUUAUUGAUAGACAAGAAGACCCUGUCGAGCUUUAGGUUAUAUUUCAAGUUAUGAGAUUAGGUUAUAUCUUAUGGGUUGUUUUAGAUCUUUGGUUGGGGCGACUGAAGAACAUGAAAAGCUUCUUUUAUAAUUUUAUUUAAUAUUUUGAUCCGGGUAAAGUACCGGUUAAAAGAAUUAGUUACCGCAGGGAUAACAGCAUAAUCCUUUUGAAGAGUUCUUAUCGAGAAAAGGGCUUGUGACCUCGAUGUUGGAUCAGAAUGUCCUAAAGAUGUAGGAGUCUUUAAGGGUUGGUCUGUUCGACCAUUAAAAUUCUA
This 488-nucleotide ribosomal RNA is filed under the name Dentimargo sp. MNHN-IM-2013-45628. Its description in RNAcentral is "partial 16S ribosomal RNA". It matches the Rfam family "Bacterial large subunit ribosomal RNA", at positions 1845 to 2598 of the family's 2925-position model. Lineage: Eukaryota; Metazoa; Mollusca; Gastropoda; Neogastropoda; Marginellidae. The record is from RNAcentral.